GGCCUGUUGGUCAAGUGGUUAAGACACCGCCCUUUCACGGCGGUAACACGGGUUCGAAUCCCGUACGGGUCACCA
RNAcentral lists this transfer RNA (75 nucleotides) under Bacillus anthracis (anthrax bacterium). RNAcentral's name for it is "tRNA-Glu (TTC) (tRNA-Glu-TTC-2-1)". It matches the Rfam family "tRNA". Rfam says of the family: Transfer RNA (tRNA) molecules are approximately 80 nucleotides in length. Their secondary structure includes four short double-helical elements and three loops (D, anti-codon, and T loops). RNAcentral also lists the same sequence under 4 other names. Lineage: Bacteria; Bacillati; Bacillota; Bacilli; Caryophanales; Bacillaceae. The record is from RNAcentral.